This 53-nucleotide non-coding RNA is filed under the name Compsopogon caeruleus. The record is from RNAcentral. Lineage: Eukaryota; Rhodophyta; Compsopogonophyceae; Compsopogonales; Compsopogonaceae.
CUGUUUUUUUUUUUUUUUUUUUUUUCUACCUUGAUUGGAUUCGGGUUAUUGUG